AGUGUUGUUCAGUUUCGCAAACAGGGCGAUAACUCGGUCUUCGUAUGUCGGAAUCGAGUACCGUCAGUUGUAACGCGUGUCUAAUACCUACGCGGUGCUGUGUGUGUGUUUGCGUGGCGUUCGGAGGGACGAUGCGGGUUUCGGACUCUUUUUCGGCUUUUUGGCUAAGUGUUGUUCAGUUUCGCAAACAGGACGAUAACUCGGUCU
RNAcentral lists this long non-coding RNA (207 nucleotides) under Panax ginseng (ginseng). Its description in RNAcentral is "long non-coding RNA (PGIN_LNC015353)". Lineage: Eukaryota; Viridiplantae; Streptophyta; Magnoliopsida; Apiales; Araliaceae. The record is from RNAcentral.